GAGUUUGAUCCUGGCUCAGGAUGAACGCUGGCGGCGUGCCUAAUACAUGCAAGUCGAACGCUUCACUUCGGUGAAGAGUGGCGAACGGGUGAGUAAUACAUAAGUAACCUGGCAUCUACAGGGGGAUAACUGAUGGAAACGUCAGCUAAGACCGCAUAGGUGUAGAGAUCGCAUGAACUCUAUAUGAAAAGUGCUACGGGACUGGUAGAUGAUGGACUUAUGGCGCAUUAGCUGGUUGGUAGGGUAACGGCCUACCAAGGCGACGAUGCGUAGCCGACCUGAGAGGGUGACCGGCCACACUGGGACUGAGACACGGCCCAGACUCCUACGGGAGGCAGCAGUAGGGAAUUUUCGGCAAUGGGGGAAACCCUGACCGAGCAACGCCGCGUGAAGGAAGAAGUAAUUCGUUAUGUAAACUUCUGUCAUAGAGGAAGAACGGUGGAUAUAGGGAAUGAUAUCCAAGUGACGGUACUCUAUAAGAAAGCCACGGCUAACUACGUGCCAGCAGCCGCGGUAAUACGUAGGUGGCGAGCGUUAUCCGGAAUUAUUGGGCGUAAAGAGGGAGCAGGCGGCACUAAGGGUCUGUGGUGAAAGAUCGAAGCUUAACUUCGGUAAGCCAUGGAAACCGUAGAGCUAGAGUGUGUGAGAGGAUCGUGGAAUUCCAUGUGUAGCGGUGAAAUGCGUAGAUAUAUGGAGGAACACCAGUGGCGAAGGCGACGAUCUGGCGCAUAACUGACGCUCAGUCCCGAAAGCGUGGGGAGCAAAUAGGAUUAGAUACCCUAGUAGUCCACGCCGUAAACGAUGAGUACUAAGUGUUGGGUGUCAAAGCUCAGUGCUGCAGUUAACGCAAUAAGUACUCCGCCUGAGUAGUACGUUCGCAAGAAUGAAACUCAAAGGAAUUGACGGGGGCC
This 911-nucleotide ribosomal RNA is filed under the name human gut metagenome. Its description in RNAcentral is "bacterial SSU rRNA". It matches the Rfam family "Bacterial small subunit ribosomal RNA", at positions 9 to 921 of the family's 1533-position model. The record is from RNAcentral.